UAAGUAAGCGGAGGAUAAGAAACUAAAUAGGAUUCCCUUAGUAAUGGCGAAUGAACAGGGAUGAGCUCAACGUGGAAAUUGUGGCUUCUGGCCAUGAAUUGUAAUCUCUCGAUGCAUUGCCAAUGGGGGCGCAGAUGUAAGCCGCUUGGAAAAGCGAAUCAUUGAGGGUGAGAAUCCUGUUUGUCAUCUGCAGACCUCUGUGUACGGCGUGCCUUCUACGAGUCACGUUCCUUGGGAUUGGAGCGCAAAUUGGGUGGUAAAUUUCAUCUCAAGCUAAAUAUGGGUUCGAGACCGAUAGCAAACAAGUACCAUGAGGGAAAGAUGAAAAGGACUUUGAAAAGAGAGUUAAAAGUGCCUGAACUUGCUGAAAGGAAAGCGGAUGGAACCAGUCUUGCUUGGUGAGAUUGUUGCACGCUGCGAUGAGCACCUUUUGCUUUAGCGCAAGCGAAGCAAUGGGCGGCGACUCGUUCGCGUGUGAUGUUUCUUGCCUUGUCGGUCAUCAUCGGUUUGGCGGUGGGGAUAACUCUCGGACCAUGGUAGCUCGCCCCAGGGUGAGUGAAUGUGCCUUGUAGGACCUACCAACAAACUGUAGCGAUGGUGUGGGGUUGCGUUGCUUGUGCUGGGAUGCCUGGGGCUUGCCCAAGCGUCAUUCGCACGCACGAGCACCUUCCUUACAAUUCUAUGGUGACGAAAUGGUUCUAUUCGACCCGUCUUG
RNAcentral lists this ribosomal RNA (715 nucleotides) under Gymnodinium inusitatum. RNAcentral's name for it is "LSU rRNA". It matches the Rfam family "Eukaryotic large subunit ribosomal RNA", at positions 43 to 656 of the family's 3401-position model. Lineage: Eukaryota; Dinophyceae; Gymnodiniales; Gymnodiniaceae. The record is from RNAcentral.